This 435-nucleotide ribosomal RNA is filed under the name uncultured bacterium. RNAcentral describes it as "partial 16S ribosomal RNA". It matches the Rfam family "Bacterial small subunit ribosomal RNA", at positions 29 to 507 of the family's 1533-position model. The record is from RNAcentral.
AACGAACGCUGGCGGCAUGCCUAACACAUGCAAGUCGAACGAUUGCCUUCGGGUGAUAGUGGCGCACGGGUGCGUAACGCGUGGGAAUCUGCCCUUAGGUUCGGAAUAACAGCUGGAAACGGCUGCUAAUACCGGAUGAUAUCGCGAGAUCAAAGAUUUAUCGCCUGAGGAUGAGCCCGCGUUGGAUUAGGUAGUUGGUGGGGUAAAGGCCUACCAAGCCGACGAUCCAUAGCUGGUCUGAGAGGAUGAUCAGCCACACUGGGACUGAGACACGGCCCAGACUCCUACGGGAGGCAGCAGUGGGGAAUAUUGGACAAUGGGCGCAAGCCUGAUCCAGCGAUGCCGCGUGAGUGAUGAAGGCCCUAGGGUUGUAAAGCUCUUUUACCCGGGAAGAUAAUGACUGUACCGGGAGAAUAAGCCCCGGCUAACUCCGUG